This 2978-nucleotide long non-coding RNA is filed under the name Heterocephalus glaber (naked mole-rat). Its description in RNAcentral is "lncRNA (ENSHGLG00100032853.1)". The record is from RNAcentral. Lineage: Eukaryota; Metazoa; Chordata; Mammalia; Rodentia; Bathyergidae.
UGUCUGCAUGAUUUACUAAAUAUGUACAAUUUCAAUUCACAGCGAAGGUAACAAAGAUUUAAACAGCCAACAUCACAAAUGUCUCAAGUUCUAAAAAAAAUUCACUGUGCACAGUUUAACAAUUUAAUUGAAUAAAAACCAAAGCUAAGCCUUCAGUCUGAAUCUUUUUUUUUAUGAUGGGCACAAGCCAUGUAUUUUCUUUAUCUUUGUUUCACAAUGCAUAUUUCAGUGACCAAAAGCCCCUUCCCAUUUUGCUAUAUUAGGCUGUCUCAGUACAUACUUAAAAGAGGCAUAUACAGCCUCUUGGUUCACCAAUACGAUUUGUGAUGUGUUCACAUAUAUGUUGUACUAUUUAUUAAUAUAUAAAAUGAUCAGAUGAGUCACCUGUAGUUUUAUAGUCUUCAAAAGUAGGAAUGUUUUGUGGCAUGUACAAAAUAUUUGAAAUUUACAGGUGUAUAUUUAAGCUAUAAUAAUUUGACCAGCAUCCCCUUGAGAUAAGGUAUCCGGAAAGAACUAUUUUGCUUUUGAAAUAUAGAUUUCACAUCCCUAUCCAAUAAAAGUUUGUAAAGUUUGGUAUUUUAUGAAUCUGAAUGUUGUGUUCAUUCUGAUACAAUGAUAAAGUGAAUGAAGUAAUUAAUAAUUAGAAAAAAAGUCAUUGAAUACAUAAUAGUUGAGUUACAGUUAAGAAGGAAGCCAUAACUUUAGCUACCCUAUAAAAUCUAUAAUAAUGCUGUUUUCACAUAUAUUUUUUCCCACGUAAAUUCUUUGGUGUUUUUCCCCCUUAUUUUUUAGUGCAGUGAUUGAUGAACAUGCAAAUAACUGCAUCGAACAUGUUUAUUUGAAUAAUUGCCCCAUUGCACAAUCAAAUAAAUCUGCUGAGUGUGUUUGUUUGAAUGUUUUUACAUGUACAUGGGAGCACAUACUCAAAUGCAGCUGUGUUUAUUACAGUGUGAGGUGCUUCAGAUAUACACACUUAUUUUUGUGUACAUCCAGGGCCCACAGCCCUUGAAUAGCCUCACACAUCCUGGAGGGACAAGAGUGGUUAACAGUUUUUCAGUUCAAAUACACGUAAACAUAUUAUUGGGCAAUCUCCUCAAAUUUGUGGCUAAGUGUUAAUGUUAUUAAGGCUUACAUCUUCAGAAAUAUUUUUUCAAAUGACCUAUUUUUUAAGUUAUCUGAUUGUGAAAAGUAAUAAGUUUAUUCGCAUUUAUUCAAAGAUAGUCCCUUCUUUCUUCCUUAUUCCAAGUCCUUGCAUUCCACCCCCAGACCAAUUCACACGAAAGAAGAUGAAUGUUCUGUUAAGCUCUUGCUGAAAACUUCUGGUAUCUCUAGUCCCACUUAUUACAGGCCUCAGCCUAUGGUGUCAUGUAAAAAAAAAGUUUGCACAGAUGUGCUAGGAUACAAAAGGCUCUUGAGGAAACGGGCAGGGAUGUUCAGCUGUCCUAAUGUUUCAUUGCCUUCUCUACCCCCUAUUCUAGGGGGAAAAGGGUGAGCCUUAGUACUAAGAGGGUGGGAAGAGUAACUAUUCUGUAAGAGAGACGAGAAUAUAUCUGAUGUUACCGAAAUGCAUGUUUCUUGCUUCUGCAAGGGGAUUUCUUGUUUGUGAUCUCAGAAAGGAAUCUUAGGAUAAAUCAAAGUUUUUAUUCUUCUCUGGAGUUGGAAGAUUAAGGAGCUCUAAUGUGUGAUAGUGUUUGUUAGUGAAUAAAGAGCAUUUUCUAAAAACUCAGAUAUGGGAUAUUGUAGUGAUUGUCACAAAUUUACAAGUGUUAUCUUGCCAUUUUCAGACUGUCGUGAGCCUGCCUGUGAAAUGAAAUCAGCAAAAAAAGGACAGAAAAGGGGGUCACAGGAGGGCAAAGGCAGGAUCUGCCCGCCCUGUCCCCUUUGUGUGCGCUUUCUUCUUCCCAAGGAGGAGGAGUAGGUUGCACAUUCUUGGUCUGUUGGUCCUAUCUCUUGUGGAUUGAGACACAGAUAUGCCCCAUGGGCAGCAGAGACCUACAUUGCUUUAAAGGAGGCCACAGGGAUUGAUUCUACCCAGACAAAAUUUAAUGGCUUGAUAUUUUCAGGUUGAAGUAAUAAAGUUAUCGCCUAGAGCCUUUAAAGCCAGAAAAAUCUAUGUAGUGUAUUUAUUUGUGCCGUUCAAAGAAGGAGAUAUGGGAAUAGAAUUUUCUAAAUUUUCAAAUAUGAAAAUGACAGGCUGUGGAAAACAGUAGCCGUAGCAUUUUGAUGCCACUUUUCCCUGCUCUCUCUCACCUCAGAAAGUUUGAAGGCAGAACUGAGAACAUAUUUUCUAGAAGGAUCUGCUCAUCUACCACUGUAUCUUCAUUAUAUCUUUUCUCUAUGUGUGUGUAUGGGUAUAUAUACAUAUAUAUUUUAAUUGAAGUUGCGAAGAAUGACAUUUGUGAAAUUUAGGAAAAUGUUAUUAUGGCUAAAGAUUAAAUAUAAAUACAUAUUUCUUGCCAACUCGAAAUAUCAUACUUAAAAUUUUAGCAAAUUCAAUAGCAAAAUGAUGCUUUUUCUAAAAUUCUAAAGUAGAAAAAAUAUGUGGACAGCUACUCUUAUAGUUCUGUAUAUUCAAGAGCUGUAAAUUUCAUAAGGUAAUCUUUUUCUCUUAUUUUCACUUGGCAAUUAGAUUUAGGAAGUAGGAUCUGGUUUCUUGAUAAAAGCCAUUAUGUAAAACCUACAAAUACAUUCAUAUUUUGAAUAUUUGGGGUCAUCUUGUAAAGUCUGAAAAAUUAUCUUGGAAAAUCAUGGUUAUUGUUGUUAGUAUUUGCCUUCAGCUUUUCCUCCCUCCCCUACCUUGUAGUCUCAGAUAAAUGGUAAACUACAGUCUGCAUUUCAAAAAAGUGAGAUAAGCUAUCCCAAUUCUUUAAAAAACGUUACAUAUUAUAAAUAACAUUGAAUAAUAUCUGUCUUUUUGAAAUUAGACUUUUUGAAUAAAUCACAAAGACUCCUUGGACAGAGAAGUGAGUUUGUAACAC